This 181-nucleotide ribosomal RNA is filed under the name uncultured bacterium. Its description in RNAcentral is "partial 16S ribosomal RNA". It matches the Rfam family "Bacterial small subunit ribosomal RNA", at positions 1322 to 1500 of the family's 1533-position model. The record is from RNAcentral.
GAAGCCGGAAUUGCUAGUAAUGGCAGGUCAGCAUACUGCCGUGAAUACGUUCCCGGGCCUUGUACACACCGCCCGUCACACCAUGAGAGUUGGGGAUACCCGAAGCCUGUGAGCCAACAGUUAAAUGAGGCAGCAGUCGAAGGUAGAAUUAAUGAUUGGGGUGAAGUCGUAACAAGGUAAC